Molecule: ribosomal RNA, 468 nt
Filed under: uncultured bacterium
Lineage: Bacteria
Description: partial 16S ribosomal RNA
Rfam family: Bacterial small subunit ribosomal RNA
Source: RNAcentral
GACGAACGCUGGCGGCGUGCUUAACACAUGCAAGUCGAACGGAAAGGCCCUGCUUUUGGGGGGUGCUCGAGUGGCGAACGGGUGAGUAACACGUGAGUAACCUGCCCUUGACUUUGGGAUAACUUCAGGAAACUGGGGCUAAUACCGGAUAGGAGCUCCUGCUGCAUGGUGGGGGUUGGAAAGUUUCGGCGGUUGGGGAUGGACUCGCGGCUUAUCAGCUUGUUGGUGGGGUAGUGGCUUACCAAGGCUUUGACGGGUAGCCGGCCUGGGAGGGUGACCGGCCACAUUGGGACUGAGAUACGGCCCAGACUCCUACGGGAGGCAGCAGUGGGGAAUAUUGCACAAUGGGCGGAAGCCUGAUGCAGCAACGCCGCGUGCGGGAUGACGGCCUUCGGGUUGUAAACCGCUUUCGCCUGUGACGAAGCGUGAGUGACGGUAAUGGGUAAAGAAGCACCGGCUAACUACGUG